AGAGUUUGAUCCUGGCUCAGGACGAACGCUGGCGGCGUGCCUAAUACAUGCAAGUCGAGCGCAUGAAAUUAUUUGAUUCUCUUCGGAGUUGACGAUAAUGGAAUGAGCGGCGGACGGGUGAGUAACACGUAGGCAACCUGCCUGUAAGACUGGGAUAACUCGUGGAAACGCGAGCUAAUACCGGAUAACACUUUUCAUCUCCUGAUGAGAAGUUGAAAGGCGGCUUUUGCUGUCACUUACAGAUGGGCCUGCGGCGCAUUAGCUAGUUGGUAAGGUAACGGCUUACCAAGGCGACGAUGCGUAGCCGACCUGAGAGGGUGAUCGGCCACACUGGGACUGAGACACGGCCCAGACUCCUACGGGAGGCAGCAGUAGGGAAUCUUCCGCAAUGGACGAAAGUCUGACGGAGCAACGCCGCGUGAGUGAUGAANGUCUUCGGAUCGUAAAACUCUGUUGUUAGGGAANAACAAGUACUAUAGUAACUGAUANUACCUUGACNG
This 500-nucleotide ribosomal RNA is filed under the name Oceanobacillus sp. L18. RNAcentral's name for it is "bacterial SSU rRNA". It matches the Rfam family "Bacterial small subunit ribosomal RNA", at positions 8 to 486 of the family's 1533-position model. Lineage: Bacteria; Bacillati; Bacillota; Bacilli; Caryophanales; Bacillaceae. The record is from RNAcentral.